This 63-nucleotide transfer RNA is filed under the name Antigona lamellaris. Its description in RNAcentral is "tRNA-Lys". Lineage: Eukaryota; Metazoa; Mollusca; Bivalvia; Venerida; Veneridae. The record is from RNAcentral.
AAAGGUUUAAAUGGAAUCAAAAAUUUUUGUUUUUGAAUAACAGUUCAAUUCUGUUAAUUUUUU